UCCCUUGUGGCUCAGCUGGUAAAGAAUCCGCCUGCAAUGCGGGAGACCUGGGUUCAAUCCCUGGCUUGGGAA
This 72-nucleotide transfer RNA is filed under the name Odocoileus virginianus texanus. It matches the Rfam family "tRNA". From Rfam's summary of the family: Transfer RNA (tRNA) molecules are approximately 80 nucleotides in length. Their secondary structure includes four short double-helical elements and three loops (D, anti-codon, and T loops). The record is from Rfam by way of RNAcentral. RNAcentral also lists the same sequence under 4 other names. Lineage: Eukaryota; Metazoa; Chordata; Mammalia; Artiodactyla; Cervidae.